GUGACGAUAUAUAUAUAUAUAUAUAUGUCGUUCAAGUGCAAGUGCAUUAUAAUGUCAUUUAAAGUGAUAUAGUGCGAUUGUGAAGCUUAACUAUCUCGAGCAAUUUCCAAGGGCGGACUAAUUCGGAUUUAUGACUGCUGGGUGGCAUGCGAUUACGCCGGAAACACACGACUCCGUGGACUCCAACGGGUCCUGGCAACUUGUCACCGCCGAAAGUUAAGUUCCCGGUGCGCGAGGGCGCAACUGGUGGCGAAAGCCAGCGGAGAGAGAGAAACGAGAAAAAGAAAGCUCGAGUGUACAAGCGAGGGACAGAGAGAUGAGGAGCCGACGACGGAGAUGGCGUAUUUAUUACAUCCCGGCGGAAUUGCUUGCGAGACGGUGAUACAUAAGUAACCAGAAUUGCAAAAUUAGAAAUGAAUAUUAAGCAAGAGAGCGCACCACCACCGUCGGCAAACAAAGUGCGACGAAAUAGCAGGGUACAUAAAUAAACUCGCGCCGGGAUGGAACUUCUGGAAAUUAUGCCGCCGUAAAAGCUGUCAUACGCAAACGUUACACAAAAGUCGGCGUAAUUGCGAAAUCGAGUCGGCGCCCAUCGCGCAUGUUCAACGAGAGUUUGUAUCGCUUCACCGGCGAAACUUCAGCAAGCGCAGCGGUUGCUGUGGAAUUCGGACAUCAGAUGUCACUCAGGCGUGGUGGCCGCCCUCGGGGACUUGAGAUUUAAAACCACAACAACGAGGGUUGAUCAGUGCGCGUUCGAUGGAUAAAAGCACGAAUACCGCCACCCUCCUGUGACUGCCACGUGUUGCCUUGAUUCUUAUCCCAAAAAUGUUUACUACACGAUAUCGACAUCUGCACACCUACACUUUUGUAUUUCUGUAUUAUAAUUAAUUAAUUGUAUAU
This is a long non-coding RNA of Wasmannia auropunctata (little fire ant), 900 nucleotides long. RefSeq lists it as uncharacterized. The record is from RefSeq and is a predicted model, not a curated record. The transcript has 4 exons. Lineage: Eukaryota; Metazoa; Arthropoda; Insecta; Hymenoptera; Formicidae.